UUCUGAAUGGAAGGGCCAUCGCUCAACGGAUAAAAGGUACUCCGGGGAUAACAGGCUGAUACCGCCCAAGAGUUCAUAUCGACGGCGGUGUUUGGCACCUCGAUGUCGGCUCAUCACAUCCUGGGGCUGAAGUCGGUCCCAAGGGUAUGGCUGUUCGCCAUUUAAAGUGGUACGCGAGCUGGGUUUAGAACGUCGUGAGACAGUUCGGUCCCUAUCUGCCGUGGGCGUUGGAAGAUUGAAGGGGGCUGCUCCUAGUACGAGAGGACCGGAGUGGACGAACCUCUGGUGUUCGGGUUGUGUCGCCAGACGCAUUGCCCGGUAGCUAAGUUCGGAAUCGAUAACCGCUGAAAGCAUCUAAGCGGGAAGCGAGCCCUGAGAUGAGUCUUCCCUGAUACUUUAAGUAUCCUAAAGGGUUGUCGGAGACUACGACGUUGAUAGGUCAGGUGUGUAAGUGCUGUGAGGCAUUGAGCUAACUGAUACUAAUUGCCCGUGAGGCUUAACCAUACAACACCCAAGGGGUUU
This 522-nucleotide ribosomal RNA is filed under the name Vibrio parahaemolyticus. RNAcentral describes it as "bacterial LSU rRNA". It matches the Rfam family "Bacterial large subunit ribosomal RNA", at positions 2427 to 2925 of the family's 2925-position model. Lineage: Bacteria; Pseudomonadati; Pseudomonadota; Gammaproteobacteria; Vibrionales; Vibrionaceae. The record is from RNAcentral.